Molecule: ribosomal RNA, 497 nt
Filed under: uncultured bacterium
Lineage: Bacteria
Description: partial 16S ribosomal RNA
Rfam family: Bacterial small subunit ribosomal RNA
Source: RNAcentral
GAUGAACGCUGGCGGCGUGCCAAAUACAUGCAAGUCGAGCGAACAGACGAGGAGCUUGCUCCUCUGACGUUAGCGGCGGACGGGUGAGUAACACGUGGAUAACCUACCUAUAAGACUGGGAUAACUUCGGGAAACCGGAGCUAAUACCGGAUAAUAUAUUGAACCGCAUGGUUCAAUAGUGAAAGACGGUUUUGCUGUCACUUAUAGAUGGAUCCGCGCCGCAUUAGCUAGUUGGUAAGGUAACGGCUUACCAAGGCAACGAUGCGUAGCCGACCUGAGAGGGUGAUCGGCCACACUGGAACUGAGACACGGUCCAGACUCCUACGGGAGGCAGCAGUAGGGAAUCUUCCGCAAUGGGCGAAAGCCUGACGGAGCAACGCCGCGUGAGUGAUGAAGGUCUUCGGAUCGUAAAACUCUGUUAUUAGGGAAGAACAGAUGUGUAAGUAACUAUGCACGUCUUGACGGUACCUAAUCAGAAAGCCACGGCUAACUACGUG